AGCUCCAAUAGCGUAUACUAAUAUUGUUGCAGUUAAAAAGCUCGUAGUUGGAUUUCUGGCUGUUUGUGCGCGUCGCCAGGUGCUAACUUAGGUUUGUGCCGUGCGUGCUGAUGCGCACCAGCCAUCCUUCUGGUGUAUGUUUCUUUGGAUUCAUAUUUUCCAGAUCGAUUACUUUGAAGAAAUUAGAGUGUUCAAGCAGG
This 200-nucleotide ribosomal RNA is filed under the name uncultured eukaryote. Its description in RNAcentral is "partial 18S ribosomal RNA". It matches the Rfam family "Eukaryotic small subunit ribosomal RNA", at positions 587 to 784 of the family's 1831-position model. The record is from RNAcentral.